UCUCCGUAGGUGAACCUGCGGAGGGAUCAUUACAGAGUUCAUGCCCUACCGGGUAGAUCUCCCACCCUAUGUUAUUAUUACUUUGUUGCUUUGGCGGGCCGUUAGGCUCCGGCCCGACUACCGGCUCCGGCUGGUAAGCGCCCGCCAGAGGACCCAAAACCCUGAAUAUUAGUGUCGUCUGAGUACUAUAUAAUAGUUAAAACUUUCAACAACGGAUCUCUUGGUUCUG
Molecule: unclassified non-coding RNA, 229 nt
Filed under: plant metagenome
Description: partial contains small subunit ribosomal RNA, internal transcribed spacer 1, and 5.8S ribosomal RNA
Source: RNAcentral